GACGGCUUGUCCCAAGACUAGGCAUGCACGUCUAAGUACAAACUAAAUGAUGGUGAACUGCAAAUGGCUCAUUACAACGGUUAUGAUGUACCCGGGAGUUCCGAUGGAUAUUUCCAGUAACACUAGAACUAAUACAUGUCCCUGCGUUUAUUAGUUUCGCACAGUCCGUCGCUGAGUCAUGGUAAACAGUUGAUCGACUCGACGUCCCGGAACAGUUUCCGCCCCAUCAGCUUCGAUGGUUGGGUAUUGGCCUACCAUUGCAACAACGGGUAACGAGGAAUUAGGGUUUGAUUUCGGAGAGGGGAGCCUGAGAACCGGCUACCCACAUCUACGGAUGGGAGCAGGCGCGCAAAUUACCCCAAUGCCGACACUGUGAGGUAGUGACGAAAAGUAAUAAAGCGGGACUUUCUGUUUUCGCUAUUAAAAAGAAGAAUAAACCCAAGGUCAUUCCCAAUUAGCAACUGAUGGGAAAGUCUUGUGUCCAGCCU
Molecule: ribosomal RNA, 488 nt
Filed under: uncultured Myrionecta
Lineage: Eukaryota; Ciliophora; Litostomatea; Cyclotrichida; Mesodiniidae
Description: bacterial SSU rRNA
Rfam family: Eukaryotic small subunit ribosomal RNA
Source: RNAcentral